GCUCCAGGACAGACUUCCUGACGCUGGCCAAGGCCGAGCCAAUCAGGAGUGACAGUAACACCUCUGUGAUAACAUAUUUAAGAACAAAAGACUGUCGCACAGAAGGAAUUCCAGCCAGGGAAGAGCGGAGAACAUGGGAACAAUGUAGACACCAAGGUCAGUACAGAAGGAGGAGCAGGAGGUGCUCCAGGUGCCGGAGCUGAAGCCCCUGCAGCCCGUGGCGCAGACCAUGGUGGAGCAGCUGUGCCCCUGGAGCCCAUGGAGGACCAUCAGGGUGCAGGGACCCACCUGCAGCCCAUGGAGGAGCCCAUGCUGGAGCAGGUGGAUGCAUGAAGGAGACCCCGUGAGAGACCCAGGACAGAGCAGGGUCCUGCCAGCGACCUGCAGCCCGUGCAGAGCGGAGGCCCUGCUGGAGCAGAUUUUUCCCAGCUGGGACCCUUGAAGAUCUUCUGGAAAGAACCAAAGCAACAUUUCUGAGAUGCUUUUGUCACAAUGUUUUUUUAUUAAAACAAGCACUGCUAUUGUCUACCAACCCUGACACGUUGUUCCAAGGCAGAAGAAAACCCCUGCCUGCCACUCCUACUCUUUACCUGCAUGGGAGAUGAGCCUGAAGACUGAGGCUCUACAGAGCCGUGCACCAGACUCCUAGCUCUGUAGCGAUCACAGAAUUUUAAAAUUUUUAUGACAACAAAAUCCAAGUCAAUUUAUACGAUUUUCUGUUCUUGUCUUUUGCAUUUGGAUCUGUUCUGCUUUUUCAGAAGAAUAUCUCUCAGAAGAAAAUUCUUUCUUAGGGUCUAUUAAGCUCUUUAUAACACCCGAGGACAUCUAGGAAAUAAAUCAUCUAAUUCAAGAAUCUCUCUUCUUAUAGUGAAUAAUCUGACUAAUUUUUAGGUUAGUAUGAUUCCUGAGGCAAUUUUGGGGGAGUUGGCAUUGGUUAUAUAAGGUCCUUUAACGUGAGUGGCAUGUAAGAGUCUAAUUACCUACUCUCUGCUGUCAGUGAAAAAGGGUAAGAACCUCUAUAGAAUAAUUUAGCCCAUCCUAAGAUUCAUACAUUUAAAGGAAUGAGUCAGCAUCAGGAGGUGCUGUUUCCAGGUAAGAAUCGCACUGAAUUCCAGGUGGGAGUUGUAUGCUUAGCUCCCUAAUCAAGAACGAAAAGUUUUCAACUAUAUCUAGGCACCCUAAUAUCAUAAAUAAAAAACAAUUAAAAUCUUCAGAAGCAGUUAGGAUCCAAGUCUGAAUUUCCUCUCUUGAACCCACUGUGUACCUUGGUGUGCCUAAAGGCUUUUUAAGCUCUGUCUUUUACUUUGCAAAUUUUAUCUUACAGUUUAUUUUUAGAAUUGAGAUGGACGUUUUGCCCUAAAUUUUUUAACACAUUUGAGUAUCUUUCUACUGAUGGCAUGAAAGAGCAGCAUUUUCAAAAUCUCCACCUGGGUUCGUGUAGCUUCACUGAAAUCCAAUGCAUAAUAUUCCUGCUUAGCUAGUUCUAGAUCUUCAUGCAGUGGAGAUGCAUAUGGGUCAGGCAGAGCCUAGGACCAAUUCCUUCGGGUCGUAGAAUCACAGUAUCUUUAAGGUUGAAAAAGACAUCCGAGACCAUUGAGUCCAACCUUUGACUGAUCACUACCUGGUGAAUUAAAUAUGGCCUUAAGUUCCACAUACAGUCUUCUCUUAAGGCAUAGUGACUCCACAACUUCCCUGGGCAGUCCAUUCCAAUGCUUGACAACCCUUUCAGUGAAGAAGUUCUUCCUGUUGUCCAACUUAAACCUCCCCUGGCAUAGCUUGAGACUUUGUCCUCUUGACCUAUCACAAGUUGACUGGGAGAAGAGACCGACCUCCAUCUUGCUACAACCUCCUUUCAGGUACUUGUAGAGAGUGAUAAGGUCUUUCCUGUGUCCCCUUUUCUCCAGACUAAACAACCUCAGCUCUCUCAGCCACUCCUCAUAUGACUUGCUUUCUAGACCCCAAGGUCUGGGAACUCCCCGGGUUACUCUGGCUCAUUGAGUCACAGAUGUCAACAGCUUAUAUGCAGACUGAAAUAAACUUUUCGUUGUUGUUGAUUUUGA
Molecule: long non-coding RNA, 2060 nt
Organism: Pseudopipra pipra
Lineage: Eukaryota; Metazoa; Chordata; Aves; Passeriformes; Pipridae
Exons: 4
Source: RefSeq, a predicted model, not a curated record